UUUUAUAAACAUCAGUAAUAAGAAACACUCCAAGAGCACAAACACCUGCCAAGGCAGCUCACUCUCUGUCCGGUAUCUGAAUUUUUAUAUAUUCAUUUUGUUUUCUUUUUGAGUAGAUUUUUCACUUCAAAGAAAGAAAUAAUAAAAACAGGACAAGUGAGGUUUUACUGGUGGAGUGAAACAUCUGUAAAUCUACUGACCAUAACAAGACUUAAGGCGUCACAUCCUAACCCAGUGCUAAAUAAGGAAACAUAUCCUGCUCUUGCGGUUUCCCUUUUAUUCCUGCAACCUUUUAUAGCCUUAAUAUAGAACCUAUUAGCCGAGCAGACGCAAACAGAGACACAGCUGACGCACACAGAGUAUAAUGGGUGCAUGCAUGCGACAGGUAUCCAGAGACUGAGCGUCUGUUUUCUCCUGAUAAGCCUCUCUCUCUGUAUAAACAAUGGGUAUCAGGCCAUUCACACUCAGACCUGACAUCACCACAUUUCUGUGCUGUGUCUCAUGGAGCACAAAUCAAUUUCCCUCUCCACAAGGACAGUUAAACUAACCGAGGAAAAUGUGCUCCACAUGAUGUCAGACUUAUUAUUUAACUCUGAAACUAUUCUUAAGUCACAAUUUACUGUAAAUGCAAAGGGAGGGGGUGAAAAAGUAAAAUAGUAAGACUGUCACCAAAGGGCGUGUUGUUGCAGCAGCUUCAGUGCUGAUAAGUAUUCACAAAUAGAGAUGCAGUCAUUUCAGACAGUCUGACAUAAAAAGAUGCUACGGUUAAGGUUCUAAGUUCUAGUCCAGGGGUGGGGAACUCCAGGCGUCAAGGGCUGGUCUCCUGCAGGAUUUAGAUGUGUCCUUGAUCCAACACAGCGUAUUUAAAUGUCUAAAUGACCUCCCCAAUAUGCCUUAAAGUUCUCCAGAAGCCUGCUAAUGGACUAAUCAUCUGAUUCAGGUGUGUUGACCCAGGGUGAGAUAUAAAACCUGCAGGACCCUUGAGGCCUGGCGUUCGACACCCCUGUUCUAGUCCAUUGUAGGAUUUUCGGAGCAAGAAGAGGAAUUUGCUAACUACCAGCUAACAGUGGCACAUUUUUAUUUUACAGACAAAGAUAAUAGUGCUCAAUGAGUAAAGUCUUAAUGUUUCACUAGCCUGUUACUGAGACUGAAGCACAAACAUCUUGUAUGGGAAUGUAACAUAUUUUGUGGAAUGCAGCAAAGACCAGACUUCCCACAUUCCCAGUCCCUGGUAUAAUUACAAGACCUUGAGACAACUGUUAGCGUGUUGCUACAGUUCCGUACAGCUGAAGUGAAAAUGAGAAUUUUUGACUUUUAUUGAGGUGACUUACUCUUGAAGGCAGGAUACAUGGGGACAGUGUUGGUGAUGAGCGAAGCGUCAUAUCUGGACUCGGGAGAUGUUGCCAGCUCUGUCAACACAAACAUAGGGUCCUGAGUUCACCCUGUGGUGCUACCUGGGGGGAAGAGGAAGCCAUACGUGAGGUGGGUGUUCUGGCUGUAGGCGCUGCAGCUCUGACUGUGAUCAGCUGACACUCUGGCAUCGACUCGGAUGCACUUAGCACUCGGAGAAGCAUCUGGUAUAGGAGUCA
Molecule: long non-coding RNA, 1589 nt
Organism: Oreochromis niloticus (Nile tilapia)
Lineage: Eukaryota; Metazoa; Chordata; Actinopteri; Cichliformes; Cichlidae
Exons: 2
Source: RefSeq, a predicted model, not a curated record